UAGUGUGGAGGGGGGACGCCCGGCCGGACCGCCUUGCCGGUCGCAGGCCCGGGGAGGGAGUUCAUCCUUCAGCAGGGCAGGAGGCCCUGACAUGUCCCUUUGCCCAGGAGAUUUGGGCACACACACCCCAGGAGGUCCCUCUUGAAAGAGCCAGAACGUAGGGAGCUCCUGCCCGAAGGUGGACAGACCUAGGUGUGGUGUGCAUAAGUGUGUGUGUAUGUGUGUGUGUCUCUGCGUGUGCGCGCGUGCAAGGCGAGAGGGUCUCCGCGUACCCCGCACCCUCUAUCUGGGAUUCUAUAUUUUCCCUUCCUUUGUUCUCAAAAUAGUAGGCUAGCGGGUCUGCGCUGCCCUGAGAAGGGGUGGGGGCCGUUGCGCGCUCGCUCUCGCGCGCCCGAGUUAGCUGCAGGGUUACAAACAGUCUCUCCCUGCUCCCCCGGCCUGAAUUAAUGUGUUACUAUUUUGGGCGCGCCAGUGUUUCCAGGGGAAACCUAAUGACGCAAUGACGUCAAUGCAGGUCAGCAGCAGACUCUCCGGGAGGGCGGGCGGGCUCCCGGCUUUCAGGCUCGGCGCAGUCUACUGGCGGGAGGGCGCCGGCGAGGUGGCGAGGGCGGCAGGCGCGGGGGCGCGGGAACCCCGGCCAGGCCCAGGGACCAGAGGGCGCCCCCUCCCAGCGCCCGGACCCGGGGGAGCCAGAGAAGCCAGCAGGUCCGGACUCGAUGAGGGGGCUCCACGCCGGGCCUCCCACGCACAGGUACGCGCAGGUCCUCAGGGUGUCCCCAGCAUGGGGAGGGAGACAUUCACACUCACUCCUGUCCACAUUCUUCUCGUGAUCUGGCACCGUAACUGGGAGUUUGGUGAAAGGACAAGUGGUGUCUGAGACCUACCCUCUUUGCCUGGGUCCCCCCACUCUUUCUGGCCUAGGAGCUGCUUGUUUGCUCCUCUCCAGUACCUCCGGUAGUCGAAGGCUAGAACUGGGGCUUCCCACUGGCGGUGCCUGUCUUGGAGGCGCCAUCUGAGGCCAGCAAGCUAAGCGGGAAAGGGUGUCCAGGCCAGACAGGCCGUGGGGAUGUGAGACUGGAUUGGGAGCCUCAGCAGCCUGGGAGGGGGUGGGCACUGCCCGUGAGCAGGAUGCGUGUAUGGGACUGCUUGGUCUGUGCCUGGUCUGGGAGCGCACCCCGGGUGUCCAUGGGGUGUGUAUGUACGCACUCACAGAAGUCUGCUGUGUCUUCCUGUCGGUGCCUUACGUGUGGGAGCACUUUCCACACCCUUCCUUGGCCCGCAGCUGGGGCACCUGCCCGGAGUGUAGGGUCCAGCGAGGGACCCACUUAGAUCCAAGGUCUUUACCCUGCUCAUCUCCCACAGUUGUUCCAGAUUUCACCCUACCCCCAGCCGGGCGGUGGCCGUCUUUUCUCCACACUGGCCACAGCUUCGGGCGGCUGCGGACUUCUCAGAGCUCAAGCUAUCUUCUUGCCCCAGCUCACUUGUGCCCUUCCCUCCUUGGAGCGUGAGUUGAAGAGGAGGAAAUCCCUUUCCAUCCGCCCCCUUUCGCCGGGGGUUUAAAAGGCUCGGGCUGAAGCCACCGCUCUCUGCCCGGGUCGGCGGCGGGCCUGCGUUUUCAGCACCAGGGUCCGGACAGCUCCACGCCCUCCCCCGCACCGCCUCUUUCCUCACCGGGCCUGAGCUCAGGACGUGGGAGUGAGCGUCCCCCGUCCUGGCCUUUCUGACCUCUCCCCCGCCCCCAACGCACACAAGUCUGGUCCUUCCUCCCCAUCCAGAUCUCUGUUCCGUGCCCAGGUGCUAGAAGGGGCAAAAACCAGCCUGCAAGAUCUCAAGCUGACUGGCAGGCAUCACCAUGUUACCAGCAGCCUGGCUUCCUUCAAGGAGUAGGAACUCUGAAGAGAGGCUGCCAAGGCCUUGCUACAAGCUCCUCUUCCUACCUCAGUUCAUUAAAAUAAGUAAAUAAAGCCAGAUUUGUUCCUCAGAAGAGGUGCCAGCUUUCAGAAGGUGCUGGUGGGGUUCAGGAUUUUCUGGAUUCUUUAAACACAAUUAGUAGCUCCUGAUAUCACCUUUCAGACAGUCUCACAGUCCUGUCCAUCCUUCUUUUCCUAAAUCCAGGCCUCACCUGGUGGAGGAAGGGGUAGGGAUGGACACUGCCCACCUCUUUACUUCCCACAACAGUCAGAGAGGAUUUGGCUAAUGUCAUAGCUUUGGGGGCUCUGGAUAGGGUGAUGUCUAUGUGAGUUCUCACUACAGCUGUGCCUUGAACUGUUGAAGGUAAUUUUUGUGGUGACAGAGCUCUGUGUAGACUUGCUGGGCUGUGACCACACAGAGACUUUUGGGACAGCCCCCACUCCACAUUCUACCCCAAAUGGAAUCUAGGACACAGCAAAUCUACUUGUGGCUCUCUCUAUUUCCGGAUUCUUUUAGUUGAUGAAAGAUGGCACUAGACUAUUGCCCCUGACACCUCUCUCCACCUUGCUCAGGAAUUGUCUUAUUGUCAUCUCAACUUCUCCAGGUAGAGUAGUAUGCGUGAUGCCCCAGCUGGUUCAGGGAUGGGUGAAGGAAGCCAAGGAAAAGCCAGCUCUUUCCACCCUGCCCCACCCUGUUUCAGAAACCUGGAGACUAUGAACCUCUUUCCCUAUCUGAGAAUCAGAACACUCUUCUUCCCUAGAUAUUCUCCUCUCUCAGGCAGCAGAGAUUAGGCCAAACUUGUCAUAUUUGACCCAGGGGCAGAUCCAGGUGUUGUCUUUCUCCUACUGAGCCCAAAGCACUAGAGGAGGUCUGGGCUUGGUGGGGAGGGUGUCUCUUUACAGAAACUCUGGGACCUGGAGUGAGGCAUGCACACUGUCAGCAGGAAAUGGCCUUUUCUCUGAAGAAGCCAUUGUUCUGCUUGCUGCUCAGCUAUCAGAGUGAGGAGAGGGGGGAAAAAAUACAGUCUAGGGACAAAAGAAGGAGAGUCAGUAAUCUCAAUCCAGUGGCACUUCCUUCUCAGAGGGUAGAAGCCUAAGACCAGAUCCAUGACAUCCUCAGUUUCCAUAGGUCUCAAGGGGAGUAAAAAAACAGCUGUUUCCCCAAAGGAAUUCAUUUGCAUGACAAAGCUGUGUGUGACUUGGUUAAGGAGGUAACAGCAUGGGAAAAAUAUGAAAACAGCAAGGGGAUAUGCCUUCCACCAAAGGACAGUGCCCACUCCCCAGCGCUCCCCACCCCAGGGUCUUUGCAGCCAAAAUUUGUUCCUCUGGGAGGCAACAAAGCUGCCACCAUCUGCCUAGCCCCACUCCUGGCUACUUUCCAAGCUUCCCUGGCUCCCUGGCCUCCUUCUGUGUUCAGCUGGGUGACAUCUGGCUGUGGCCUCAGGGGAAGGCUGGCCAAGGUCGGGCAGAUACAGAGGUGUUUACCCUGGGGACCUGAGGCUGACUUCUCCUUUGGUUGUGUGGAGCAGGGACCUAGGAAGAAGAGCUAGGGAAGGUGAGGGGCCCCACCUGGCAAGAAACCUGCACAUGACAUUGCACUGGGUGCUGAGGAGAUCCCAGGCCUCUGAGGUUGUCCUUGUACACCACAGGGCAUCUGGGCCAGAGGUCCCACUCCCCAGGGUCAGAUGCACAGCAGAGAUCUGGACUACCUCAGCACCAGUCCCAGCACAAGGGGCCAAAUUUUCCCUUCAGCUCCCUGCUGAUUCUUAAGCAAG
This 3685-nucleotide long non-coding RNA is filed under the name Canis lupus familiaris (dog). RNAcentral's name for it is "lncRNA (ENSCAFG00030009513.1)". The record is from RNAcentral. Lineage: Eukaryota; Metazoa; Chordata; Mammalia; Carnivora; Canidae.